Molecule: ribosomal RNA, 234 nt
Filed under: uncultured bacterium
Lineage: Bacteria
Description: partial 16S ribosomal RNA
Rfam family: Bacterial small subunit ribosomal RNA
Source: RNAcentral
CGGACGGGUGAGUAAUGCGUAGGAAUUUACCUCAAAGCGGGGGAUAGCCCGGAGAAAUCCGGAUUAAUACCGCAUGUGCUCUACGGAGGAAAGCGGGCCUCUUCUUGAAAGCUCGCACUUUGAGAUAAGCCUAUGUCGGAUUAGCUUGUUGGUAGGGUAAAAGCCUACCAAGGCAACGAUCCGUAGCUGGUUUGAGAGGAUGAUCAGCCACACUGGGACUGAGACACGGCCCAG